This 697-nucleotide ribosomal RNA is filed under the name Escherichia coli. Its description in RNAcentral is "partial 23S ribosomal RNA". It matches the Rfam family "Bacterial large subunit ribosomal RNA", at positions 166 to 905 of the family's 2925-position model. The record is from RNAcentral. Lineage: Bacteria; Pseudomonadati; Pseudomonadota; Gammaproteobacteria; Enterobacterales; Enterobacteriaceae.
AUAGGUUAAUGAGGCGAACCGGGGGAACUGAAACAUCUAAGUACCCCGAGGAAAAGAAAUCAACCGAGAUUCCCCCAGUAGCGGCGAGCGAACGGGGAGGAGCCCAGAGCCUGAAUCAGUGUGUGUGUUAGUGGAAGCGUCUGGAAAGGCGCGCGAUACAGGGUGACAGCCCCGUACACAAAAAUGCACAUAUUGUGAGCUCGAUGAGUAGGGCGGGACACGUGGUAUCCUGUCUGAAUAUGGGGGGACCAUCCUCCAAGGCUAAAUACUCCUGACUGACCGAUAGUGAACCAGUACCGUGAGGGAAAGGCGAAAAGAACCCCGGCGAGGGGAGUGAAAAAGAACCUGAAACCGUGUACGUACAAGCAGUGGGAGCCUCUUAAUGGGGUGACUGCGUACCUUUUGUAUAAUGGGUCAGCGACUUAUAUUCUGUAGCAAGGUUAACCGAAUAGGGGAGCCGAAGGGAAACCGAGUCUUAACUGGGCGUUAAGUUGCAGGGUAUAGACCCGAAACCCGGUGAUCUAGCCAUGGGCAGGUUGAAGGUUGGGUAACACUAACUGGAGGACCGAACCGACUAAUGUUGAAAAAUUAGCGGAUGACUUGUGGCUGGGGGUGAAAGGCCAAUCAAACCGGGAGAUAGCUGGUUCUCCCCGAAAGCUAUUUAGGUAGCGCCUCGUGAAUUCAUCUCCGGGGGUAG